UGGCGAACGGGUGAGUAACACGUGAGUAACCUGCCCUUGACUCUGGGAUAAGCCUGGGAAACUGGGUCUAAUACUGGAUAUGACCUCUUGCCGCAUGGUGGGAGGUGGAAAGAUUUAUUGGUCUUGGAUGGACUCGCGGCCUAUCAGCUUGUUGGUGAGGUAAUGGCUCACCAAGGCGACGACGGGUAGCCGGCCUGAGAGGGUGACCGGCCACACUGGGACUGAGACACGGCCCAGACUCCUACGGGAGGCAGCAGUGGGGAAUAUUGCACAAUGGGCGCAAGCCUGAUGCAGCGACGCCGCGUGAGGGAUGACGGCCUUCGGGUUGUAAACCUCUUUCAGUAGGGAAGAAGCGAAAGUGACGGUACCUGCAGAAGAAGCGCCGGCUAACUACGUGCCAGCAGCCGCGGUAAUACGUAGGGCGCGAGCGUUAUCCGGAAUUAUUGGGCGUAAAGAGCUCGUAGGCGGUUUGUCGCGUCUGCCGUGAAAGUCCGGGGCUUAACUCCGGAUCUGCGGUGGGUACGGGCAGACUAGAGUGCAGUAGGGGAGACUGGAAUUCCUGGUGUAGCGGUGAAAUGCGCAGAUAUCAGGAGGAACACCGAUGGCGAAGGCAGGUCUCUGGGCUGUAACUGACGCUGAGGAGCGAAAGCAUGGGGAGCGAACAGGAUUAGAUACCCUGGUAGUCCAUGCCGUAAACGUUGGGCACUAGGUGUGGGGGACAUUCCACGUUUUCCGCGCCGUAGCUAACGCAUUAAGUGCCCCGCCUGGGGAGUACGGCCGCAAGGCUAAAACUCAAAGGAAUUGACGGGGGCCCGCACAAGCGGCGGAGCAUGCGGAUUAAUUCGAUGCAACGCGAAGAACCUUAUCAAGGCUUGACA
Molecule: ribosomal RNA, 878 nt
Filed under: uncultured bacterium
Lineage: Bacteria
Description: bacterial SSU rRNA
Rfam family: Bacterial small subunit ribosomal RNA
Source: RNAcentral